UACAGAGGGUGCAAGCGUUAAUCGGAAUUACUGGGCGUAAAGCGUGCGUAGGUGGCAUGUCAAGUCAGGCGUGAAAGCCCCGGGCUCAACCUGGGAACUGCGUUUGAAACUGGCAAGCUAGAGUAUGGUAGAGGGAAGUGGAAUUUCCGGUGUAGCGGUGAAAUGCGUAGAUAUCGGAAGGAACAUCAGUGGCGAAGGCGACUUCCUGGACUGAUACUGACACUGAGGCACGAAAGCGUGGGGAGCAAACGGG
RNAcentral lists this ribosomal RNA (253 nucleotides) under uncultured bacterium. Its description in RNAcentral is "partial 16S ribosomal RNA". It matches the Rfam family "Bacterial small subunit ribosomal RNA", at positions 524 to 776 of the family's 1533-position model. The record is from RNAcentral.